Bacillus sp. FJAT-27231 is the source of this 113-nucleotide non-coding RNA. The record is from Rfam. NCBI's taxonomy places the organism in Bacteria, Bacillati, Bacillota, Bacilli, Caryophanales, Bacillaceae.
GAUCGCCGUGUGCGGUGAAAGCCGCCUGCACGGUGAAGGCGUUAACGAAAGCCGGGAAGGUAUAAGUGACGAAUGGCACAUGGGUAAAUCCUCAAAUUAGCAGUGCAUCUUAU